Molecule: RNase P RNA, 376 nt
Filed under: Candidatus Pseudogracilibacillus intestinigallinarum
Lineage: Bacteria; Bacillati; Bacillota; Bacilli; Caryophanales; Bacillaceae
Description: Bacterial RNase P class B
Rfam family: Bacterial RNase P class B
About the family: Ribonuclease P (RNase P) is a ubiquitous endoribonuclease, found in archaea, bacteria and eukarya as well as chloroplasts and mitochondria. Its best characterised activity is the generation of mature 5'-ends of tRNAs by cleaving the 5'-leader elements of precursor-tRNAs.
Source: RNAcentral
UGUAAUCGCUGCGUGCUUUGUGUACGUAGAGGAAAGUCCAUGCUCACACAAACUGCGAUGUUUGUAGUGUUCAUGCUUGACGAAAAAAUAAGUCAAGGUAGCUUUAUAUAAGGCUAACGGCAGGAGUUUAUUCCUACGUCGAUUUUGAUAUGGAAUAAAGCCUUGAAAGUGCCACAGUGACGAGGAAGGUUGGAAACAAUCGGAAGUGGAACGGGUAAACCCCAUGAGUGAGCAACCCAAACUAUGGUAGGGGCACUCUCUUAGUAGGAAAUGAACGAACGGAGAGACGAGUAGUAAAUACUUGUAGAUAAAUGAUUACAGCUGGAGUACGAGGUUGACCACCGUUUGUAGUACGAAAGAACAGAACAUGGCUUAC